This is a long non-coding RNA of Lepidothrix coronata (blue-crowned manakin), 690 nucleotides long. RefSeq lists it as uncharacterized. NCBI's taxonomy places the organism in Eukaryota, Metazoa, Chordata, Aves, Passeriformes, Pipridae. The transcript has 5 exons. The record is from RefSeq and is a predicted model, not a curated record.
CCAGUGGUGAAAAUCAUCCCACCCUGUUGCCAUGAUGGCAACUAUGUCAUAGAUUCACCACAGCUUCCACCUCCUGUUAGUUGCCUGUGUCGUGUGCAUUGGUGUAGAUGCACUUCAGAUGGGCUAUUGAUCCCAUCACCUUUUUGAGGGGUGAUACCUUAAUUCCUACAUGACCGUUCUCAGGCACUCCCACCAUUUCUAACUCAUCAAUAACCCUUGCAUCUUUGCUGCUAAGGAUCCUUUAAAAGGAAAAUUUAUUAUCCGAGUGUUUUUAACUGUGUUCUCCAGUCCCGUGCACUCGAUUGUCAUAAUCUAGAGCCAUACCAGUCUCUGGGUAGCAGUUUUUUAGCAAUUCAGAAGAUUUAUGUGUCUGUUGCUGUGCUGAAUGCCAUUUUUUGACUUUGCAUCUUACAGCAGUUUAAAGCUUUGGGGCAUUCGUCUGUCAUGAUUGAUGUUUGUCAUGAUGUACUGCACAAACAUCUUUAAAAACACUGGAUGCUGCUACUUUCCAGAGCUGCUUAAAAGAAUUGUCAUGUCUCAGCUAAAAUGGAAAAGAAUUGCUCAUCUGAGGCAAAGAGCUCUCACAGAGUUUGUCUUCAAAAUCGGUAAUCAGAAGUGACUGCUCUUCAGGAGAUCAGAGCUUCCAAUGUAUCAUGCUGGGCUUCUAUUCUACCAGAGGAUGAAAUGACU